RNAcentral lists this small RNA (127 nucleotides) under Marmota monax (woodchuck). The record is from RNAcentral. Lineage: Eukaryota; Metazoa; Chordata; Mammalia; Rodentia; Sciuridae.
GCUAGGUGUGGUGAUGCACGCCUGUAAUCCCAGCAGCUUGGGAGGCUGAGGCAGGAGGAUCUCAAGUUCAAAGCCAGUUUCAGCAACUCAGCAAGGCCCUAAGCAACUCAGUGAGACCCCAUCUCUA